RNAcentral lists this ribosomal RNA (504 nucleotides) under uncultured bacterium. RNAcentral describes it as "partial 16S ribosomal RNA". It matches the Rfam family "Bacterial small subunit ribosomal RNA", at positions 28 to 523 of the family's 1533-position model. The record is from RNAcentral.
GAUGAACGCUAGCGACAGGCUUAACACAUGCAAGUCGAGGGGCAGCAUAGAAGUAGCAAUACUUUGGUGGCGACCGGCGCACGGGUGAGUAACGCGUAUGCAACCUACCUAUCAGAGGGGAAUAACCCGGCGAAAGUCGGCCUAAUACCGCAUAAAACAGGGGCACCGCAUGGUGCUAUUUGUUAAAGAUUUAUUGCUGAUAGAUGGGCAUGCGUUCCAUUAGGUAGUUGGUGAGGUAACGGCUCACCAAGCCGACGAUGGAUAGGGGAACUGAGAGUUUGGUCCCCCACACUGGUACUGAGAAACGGACCAGACUCCUACGGGAGGCAGCAGUGAGGAAUAUUGGUCAAUGGGCGAGAGCCUGAACCAGCCAAGUCGCGUGAAGGAAGAAGGAUCUAUGGUUCGUAAACUUCUUUUGCAGGGGAAUAAAGUGAAGGACGUGUCCUUUUUUGUAUGUACCCUGAGAAUAAGGAUCGGCUAACUCCGUGCCAGCCGCCGCAGUAA